AAUAAAGUKCCUGAUAAAAAGGAUUAUUCUGAUAGGAUAAAUCAUGUAGAACUCUACCUUUAUUA
Molecule: transfer RNA, 65 nt
Filed under: Choristoneura occidentalis (western spruce budworm)
Lineage: Eukaryota; Metazoa; Arthropoda; Insecta; Lepidoptera; Tortricidae
Description: tRNA-Ile
Source: RNAcentral